This is a long non-coding RNA of Salvelinus fontinalis (brook trout), 760 nucleotides long. RefSeq lists it as uncharacterized. Lineage: Eukaryota; Metazoa; Chordata; Actinopteri; Salmoniformes; Salmonidae. The transcript is spliced from 4 exons. The record is from RefSeq and is a predicted model, not a curated record.
UCGCUUGUGGGCGUGCUGGCAGGAUAGGGCAGCGUCUUCAGUUGCGCGUCAAGAAUUCUGCAUACAGUAGCAGUUUGUAUGAAGGUGUGGUUAUUCACAGGCAAAUUGUUAUAUGCUAUGGAGGUAGAUUUGUGUCUUUUUGUCGAAAUCAAAAAUGAUUGUUCUGACAGCAAUUUUUCCCCGACAGAAAAGGAAGUCAAAGCGGACACCUACGAAGAUGGCAUCUCAGAGAGCGAGCAGAUUUACAGCCAUUUUCACUGGACUAUCUGUUGCUGCAAAAUCAUGGGUUAACCUUACAAUAACCAAGUGGUUAUAUCAGCUGUUUUGUUGAACCUCUCCCGCAUCUGAACUGGCUGACAGAGGGCACAGCCUGAUCAUAGGUAUGUUUUGAUGUGAGAGGAAUCCAGUCCCGACAGCGCAAUUGUGAUGAACUGAGAGAAUAUUAGGGUAGCACUGUCAUUCAUGAAUCAUGUGCUAUCUGCCGCUGUUCUUACCUCUCGCCCCACCUCAUCUUCUAAUGCACACCAUAUGUGCAUUGAAGUACAGAUUUGCCUACCAUUUUUUUUUUUUACUAGGCAAGUCAGAUAAGAAUGACGGCCUAGGAACUGCCUUGUUCAGGGACAGAAGGACAGACCUUGUCGGCUCGGGGAUUCGAUCUUGCAACCUUCCGGUUACUAGUCCACCUACCCGCCCAAGAUUGAACUUGUAUUUAUAAUAUUACAAUUAAAAUGCACUUCUUUCAAUAAAGCGUUUCACAUUC